AUAGUACUUCCUUCAUCCGGAAUUACUUGACGCUCAAACAGAUGUAUCUAGACCUAUUUUAGUGCUAGAUACAUCCGUUUGAGCGUCAAGUAAUUCCGUAUGGAGGGAGUACUAG
Non-coding RNA from Triticum aestivum (bread wheat), 115 nucleotides. NCBI's taxonomy places the organism in Eukaryota, Viridiplantae, Streptophyta, Magnoliopsida, Poales, Poaceae. The record is from Rfam.